Molecule: long non-coding RNA, 15723 nt
Filed under: Hordeum vulgare
Lineage: Eukaryota; Viridiplantae; Streptophyta; Magnoliopsida; Poales; Poaceae
Description: long non-coding RNA (HVUL_LNC000719)
Source: RNAcentral
UCCCUUCCCCAGAUUCUCUCCCUCACCCCCGAUUCCCCAUCCCCCGGCGGUGGCUCGCCCCUUCCUCGACCCGAGAUCCGACGCCCACAUGUCAUCGCUAACCACCUGUCUGGCCACAGGCCAUCGACGGGCCGCCCCGCCACGCCGUCCCCUGGCGGCUCCCCUCUCCUCUCGAUCCAAAUCGGAUCAGGGCUGGCCCCCGCCCCCGCCGGACCACCGCACCUUCCCGGCCUCCUCACGCCUCGCCAACGAACACCUGCACCGGGGGUUAGCUGUUUCCCCCUUCCCUCUCACUUCUCUUCCGCCCCCGGUAUGACCGGAACUGCCACAUCGUCCUGCCCUUCCGGCGAGAUCCGCGCGCCCGCCAGCACCCCCUUCGCUCCUGUCCCCGCCCGGGGCCACGACUGCCCUCACCCGUGCCGCCCCAGGCCGUGCCGUGGCUGCGCCCGCGCGUGCACUCUGCUAUGCCUGGCCGUGCUCACCUUGUCCGGCUACGCAUGCCUUUGCUCGCCUGCGCCCGUGCCGCGCCGUUGCCGCUACUGCUACUACAGCUGCCGCUGCCUGCUACUUCUUCAGUCCCUGCCGCUGAUUGCUGCUCUGUUGCCUCCUCCUACCAGCAGCUGUCCGCUACUGUUGCCGGCCAGCCAAGCCAUGGCUGACUGCAUGUGUGUGUGCACACCCAGCCGUGGCCUGGACAGUUCCACCACGGCCGGCCCUUCAUUAGAUUAGGGGCUAAUCCCCUCCCCACACCGAAUAACACACGGGGUGGACCCCCCUCUAAACAUUUUAUUUUGUUAAAGGAAAAUAUAUUAAAAAUAAAAACGGUAAUUAAAAUAAUUAUUUAGUUAAAUUAAUUAAUUAAUUACCUAAUUAGUGUAUUUAAGAUUAAUUAGUUUAAUUAAAAGUGUUUAUUAAUUAGUUAAACAUGAAAUUAAAAUAUUGUGUCAAUGACAACUAAUUUAACUAGGUAAUAAAUUUAUGCAAUAUUAGUCCUUAACAUGUGGGUCCUUUGACGUUGUUAACCAGUCAAAGUGUGACUGGUCAACUACUGACUAUGCAUGCUGACUGGACCACCUAGUCCCAUUGUCAUACACUAGGGUUACGAACACACUAGGUCCCUUUUCCAUCCGUUUCGCAUGUUCGGUAGUAGCUAGAGACCCGGGAAAUACUGUCAGAUAUUUUCCCGAUCUGUCUAUGACGGGUAAUACUGUGUUAGCUCAUGCCUAGCCCUCCAUAUUGCCAUGUCAUAUUUGUGAUGCAUUUGAUAGCUCUAUUAUUUACUGUGUGUCCCCUACAUUACUUCCUUUUCGGUAGACCCCGAGACCGAUGAUGAUCCGGUGAUCGACUACUUCCCGAUCGAGCCACCGUUUUUGUCUGAAGAGCAACAAGGCAAGCAAACCCCCUUGACCAUUCCUAUAUCGCCUAUUCUUUCUCCAUCAUGCUUUCAUUAGAAUUUUGCUAUUGUUCUAGAUAGCUCCUAUUCUGAUGCAUAGCCUUUUUUCGAUGAAUUGCUACUUUACUGUACUGCAAUCUAAACUAUUUAGAAUAGGUGGUGUAGUCAUCCCCUUUGACCCCUUAGACCAGUUGCCCCCUCUUUUUGGUCAAGUCUCGAUCAACUGAUCGACGAGCCAAGACUCGACACUUCACUCACACCCCCUUAUUUGUGCAAUGUUGCAGAGCUACUAUCGAGUACCGAGGGUGACACCUCGUUACGUACUCCUGAUGUUAGCGUAGUGGUGUAGUUAACUGAUGGUGGUUCACGUAGGAUGAUUCCUUCUUCACCACUUCCGAUAACAGCUCUGUCGUACAACCCAUCAAGCUAGCCCAGCGAGGCUCAUUCCUCCCUGGCCACCUUGACGAUUACGUUGUUCGGAAUCCAUCGAGGGUGAUACCUCGGAUCCCUCUAAUUUUAUAGCCACACAGUUACUUCACCUUGUUACUGGGAACUUUGAUGGAUGAUGUGUUGCGGGUGGAUUCCCGUGUGUAUGUGACGACGAGUUAAUUAAAAUGUUAAUGGAUUUGGGUAUUUGAUCUCGGUUGGUCGGAGACCUUUUCGCACUAACCAGCUACGCGGGAGAAGUUAUGGGUACUCGACAUCGUGGUAUUAGCCGAAGCUCUCCAGACGUCACCAAUGGAGCGGCGCGCGCCCGAGUAGUCUGGAUUAUCACCGUUCUUGUAUAAGAGCUGCCAUGACUGACAUCGACCGCCCUUGCAACGUGCAGGAGCGCAAUGGUGUUGGGGAUCAUAGUAAUUUCAAAAUUUUCCUACGCCAUGCAAGGAUCUAUCUAUGGAGAAACCGGCAACGAGCAAUGGAGUAGAGCAUCUUCAUACCUUUGAAGAUCGCUAAGCAGAAGCGUUACUAUGAACGUGGUUGAUGGAGUCGUAAUCGCAGCGAUUCAGAUCACGGUGGAUUCCAAUCUAUGUGCCGAAUCAUGACACCUCCGCGUUCAACACACGUGCAACCCGGUGACGUCUCCAACACCUUGAACCAGCAAGGAUGAAGGAGAGGUUGAGGGAGAGAGCUCCGGCAGCAUGACGGCUUGGUGGCGAUGGAGCUACGUGGUUCUCCGACAAGGCUUCGCCAAGCGUUGCAGAGGACAAGGAGAGAGAGAGAGAGAGAGAGGAAGGGCUGUGCCGAGAGAGAGAGAGAGAGNNNNNNNNNNNNNNNNNNNNNNNNNNNNNNNNNNNNNNNNNNNNNNNNNNNNNNNNNNNNNNNNNNNNNNNNNNNNNNNNNNNNNNNNNNNNNNNNNNNNNNNNNNNNNNNNNNNNNNNNNNNNNNNNNNNNNNNNNNNNNNNNNNNNNNNNNNNNNNNNNNNNNNNNNNNNNNNNNNNNNNNNNNNNNNNNNNNNNNNNNNNNNNNNNNNNNNNNNNNNNNNNNNNNNNNNNNNNNNNNNNNNNNNNNNNNNNNNNNNNNNNNNNNNNNNNNNNNNNNNNNNNNNNNNNNNNNNNNNNNNNNNNNNNNNNNNNNNNNNNNNNNNNNNNNNNNNNNNNNNNNNNNNNNAGAGAGAGAGAGAGAGAGUUUUCAUGUCUCAAAUCAGCCCCAAACCUUGGGUAUUUAUAGGAGGGAGGGAGAGAGGGUGCGCACCCCUAGGAUUCACUCCCUAGGGGUGGCGGCAGCCCUAGAUGUCCAGGGAGGGCUGGCGGGCAAGGUGGAGAGGAGGGCGGCGCCCUAGGUGGGCCUUGGGCCCCUCCCAGCCUAGGGUUUGCCCCUACACCUCUCCUCGCGCCUUGGGCUGAGAGGGGAGGGCGCACCAGCCCACUUUGGGCUGCUCCCCUUCCACCUUUUUGCCCAUGAAGCCUCUUGGGGCUUGUGUCCCCUCCCGGUGGACCCCCGGAACCCUUCCGAUGGUCCCGGUACGUUAUUGGUGACGCCCGAAACACUUCCGGUGUCCGAAACCUCACAUCCUAUAUAUCAAUCUUUACCUCCGGACCAUUCCGGAGGUCCUCGUGACAUCCGAGAUCACAUCCGGGACUCCGAAAAACCUUCGGUAACCACGUACACUAUUUCCCUAUAACCCUAGCGUCAUCGAACCUUAAGUGUGUAGACCAUACGGGUUCGGGAAGCAUGCAGACAUGACCGUGACACUCUCCGGUCAAUAACCAAUACUGGGGUCUGGAUAUCCAUGUUGGUUCCCACAUGUUCCAUGACGAUCUCAUCGGAUGAACCACGAUGUCAAGAAUUCACUUAAUCCCGCAUGCAAUUCUCUUUGUCUAUCGGUAUGACACUUGCCCGAGAUUCGAUCGUCGGUAUCCACAUACCUUGUUCAAUCUCGUUACUGGCAAGUCUCUUUACUUGUUCUGUAGCACAUCAUCCCGUGGCUAACUCCUUAGUCACAUUGAGCUCAUUAUGAUGAUGUUCUACCGAGUGGGCCCAGAGAUACCUCUCCAUCACACGGAGUGAAAAAUCCCGGUCUCCAUUCGUACCAACCCAACAGACACUUUCUAAGAUACCCGUAAUGCACCUUUAUAGUCACCAAGUUACGUUGUGAUGUUUGAUACACCCAAAGCACUCCUACGGUAUCCGGGAGUUGCACAAUCUCACGGUCUAUGUAAAAUAUACUUGACAUUAGAAAAGCUUUAGCAUACGAACAACACGAUCUAGUGCUAUGCUUAGGAUUGGGCUUGUCCAUCACAGUAUUCCCCAAUGACGUCAUCCCAUUAUCAAUGACAUCCAAUGUCCAUGAUCAGGAAACUAGGAUCAUCUAUUGAUCAGUGAGCUAGCCAACUAGAGGCUCACUAGGGACACAUUGUGAUCUAUAUAUUCACACGUGUAUUACGGUUUUCGGUUAAUACAAUUAUAACCUGAAUAAUAGACAAUUAUCAUGAACUAAGAAAUAAAUAAUAACCACUUUAUUUGCCUCUAGGGCAUAUUUCCAACAAUCUCCCACUUGCACUAGAGUCAAUAAUCUAGUUACAUUGUGAUGAAUCGAACACCCAUAGAGUUCUGGUGCUGAUCAUGCUUUGCCCGUGGAAGAGGUUUAUUCAAUGGGUCUGCGACAUUCAGAUCUGUAUGUACUUUACAAAUAUCUAUAUCUCCAUCCUAGAUGUAUCCACGAAUGGAGUUGAAGCGACGCUUGAUGUGCUUGGUCUUCUUGUGAAACCUGGGCUCCUUUGCAAUGGCAAUAGCUCUAGUGUUGUCACAGAACAGAGUCAUCGGGCCCGACUCACUUGGAAUCACUCCUAGGUCGGUGAUGAACUCCUUCAUCCAAACUCCUUCCUGUGCUACUUACGAAGCAGCGAUGUACUCCGCUUCACAUGUAGAUGUCGCCACGAUGCUUUGCUUGCAACUGCACCAGCUAACUGCCCCAUUUUGCAAAAUAUACAGUAUACGGUUUGUGACUUGGAGUCAUCCGGAUCUGUGUCGAAGCUAGCAUCAACGUAACCCUUUACGACGAGCUCUUGGGCACCUCCAUAAACGAGAAACAUAUCUUUAGUCCUUUUCAGGUACUUCAGGAUAUUCUUGACCGUUGUCCAGUGAUCCACUCCAGGAUCACUCUGUUACCUCCCUACCAAACUUAUGGCAAGGUUCACAUCAGGUCUGGUACACAUCAUGGCGUACAUAAUAGAACCUAUGGCUGAAGCAUAGGGGAUGGUACUCAUCUUCUCUAUAUAUUCUGCCGUGGUCGGUCAUUGAGUCGCACUCAACCUCACACCUUGUAAUACAGGAAAUAACCCCUUCUUAGUGUUCUCCAUAUUGAACUUUUUCAAUAUUUUGUCAAGGUAUGUGCUUUGUGAAAGACCUAUGAGGCGUCUCGAUCUAUCUCUAUAGAUCUUGACGCCAAAUAUGUAAGUAGCUUCUCCAAGGUCCUUCAUCGAAAAACUCUUAUUCAAAUAGGCCUUUAUGCUUUCCAAUAGUUUUAUAUCAUUUCCCAUCAACAAUAUGUCAUCCACAUAUAAUAUGAGAAAUGCUACACAGCUCCCACUCACUUUCUUGUAAAUACAGGCUUCUCCAUAAGUCUGUAUAAACCCAAACGCUUUGAUCACCUCAUCAAAGCGAAUGUUCCAACUCCGAGAUGCUUGCACCAACCCAUAGAUGGAGCGCUGGAGCUUGCAUGCCAUGUUAGCAUUGCUAAGAUCGAUAAAACCUUACGGCUGUAUCAUAUGCAAUUCUUCUUUAAGAAAGUCGUUUAGGAAUGCCGUUUUGACGUCCAUUUGCCAGAUUUCAUAAUCAUAGAAUGCGGCAAUUGCUAACAUGAUUCGGACCGACUUUAGCAUCGCUACGGUGAGAAGGUCUCAUCGUAGUGAAUCCCUUGAACUUGUCGAUAACCUUUAGCGAGAAAUCGAGCCUUAUAGAUGGUCACAUUACCAUCUGCAUCAGUCUUCUUCUUGAUGAUCCAUUUAUUUUCUAUGGCUCGCCGAUCAUCGGGCAAGUCCACGAAAGUCCAUACUUUGUCCUCAUACAUGGAUCCUAUCUCAAAUUUCAUGGCCUCAAGAAAUUUGUUGGAAUUCGGGCCCGCCAUCGCUUCUUCAUAGUUCGAAGGUUCACUGUUGUCCAACAACAUGAUUUCCAUGACAUGGUUGCCGUACCAUUCUGGUGCGGAACGUAUCCUUGUCGACCUUUGAGGUUCAAUAGCAACUUGAUCCGAAGUGUCAUGAUCAUCAUCAUUAACUUCAUCCCUAGCCGGUGCAGGUGCCUCAAAAACAUUUUCUUGCGUUGUGCUACUCUCCGGUUCGAGAGGAGGUACAAUUACCUCAUCAAGUUCUAGUUUCCUCCCACUUACUUCUUUCGAGAGAAACUCCUUCUCUAGAAAGAAUCUGUUCCUAGCAACAAAGAUCUUACCUUCGGAUCUAAGAUAGAAGGUGUACCCAAUAGUUUCCUUAGGGUAUCCUAUGAGGACGCAUUUUUGCGCUUUGGGUUCGAGCUUCUAUGGUUGAAGUUUCUUCACAAAAGCAUCGCAGCCCCAAACUUUUAGAAACGACAGCUUAGGUUUCUUGCCAAACCAUAAUUCAUACGGUGUCGUCUCAAUGGAUUUAGACGGUGCCCUAUUUAAAGUGAAUGCGGUAGUUUCCAAUGCAUAUCCCCAAAAUGAUAGCAGUAAAUCGGUAAGAGACAUCAUAGAUCGCACCAUAUCCAAUAAAGUCCGAUUACGACGUUCAAACACACCGUUACGCUGCGGUGUGCCAGGCGGCGUGAGUUGUGAAACAAUUCCACAUUCCCUAAGGUGCGUGCGAAACUCAUGACUCAAAUAUUCUCCUCCACGAUCAGAUCGUAGAAACAUUAUUUUCUUGUCACGUUGAUUCUCCACCUCAUUCUGAAAUUCCUUGAACUUUUCAAAGGUUUUAGACUUGUGCUUCAUUAAGUAGACAUACCCAUAUCUACUCAAAUCAUUAGUGAUGGUGAGAACAUAACGAUAGCCUCCGCAAGCUUCAACACUUAUUACACCGCAGACAUCGAUAUGCAUUAUUUCCAAUAAGUUGGUCGCUCGCUCCAUUAUUCUGGAGAAUGGUGUCUUAAUCAUCUUACCCAAGAGGCAUGGCUCGCAUGUGUCAAAUGAUUCAAAAUCAAGAGACUCCAAAAGUCCAUCAGUAUGGAGUUUCUUCAUGCGCUUUGUGCUGAUAUGACCAAGGCAGCAGUGCCACAAGUAUAUGGGACUAUCAUUAUCAACCUUGCAUCUUUUAGCACUCACACUAUGAAUAUGUGUAUCAUCACGAUCGAGAUUCAUUAGGAAUAAACCAUUGGCCAACGAGUAUUGACCAUAAAACAUACCACUCAUAUAAAUAGAACAACCAUUAAUAUCUGAUUUAAAUGAGUAGCCAUCUUGCAUCAAGCAAUAUCCCGAUACAAUGUUCGUGCUUAAAGCUAGUACUAAAUAAAAAUUAUUAAGGUUUAUAACUAAAACCGAAGGUAGAUGUAGAGUUAGCGUGCCGACGGUGAUCACAUCGACCUUGGAACCAUUCCCAGCCUGCAUCGUCACCUCCUACUUGUCUAGCUUACGCUUGUUCCGUAGUUCCUGCUUAGAGUUGCAAAUGUGAGAAACAAUCCCGAUAUCAAAUACCUAGGAGCUACUACGAGCGCUGGUAAGGUACACAUCAAUAAGAAGUAUAUCACAUAUACCUUUGACGUUGCUGGCCUUCUUGUCCGCUAAGUACUUGGGGCAAUUCGUCUUCCACUGACUGGUUCCCUUGCAGUAGUAGCACUCAGUCUCAGGCUAAGGUCCUUUCUUUGACUUCUUCCCGACAACUGGCCUACCGGGUGCGGUAACGGUUUUUCCGUCUUUCUUGAAGCUUUUCUUACCCUUGCCCUUCUUGAAACUGGUGGUCUUAUUGACCAUCAACACUUGAUGCUCUUUCUUGAUUUCUACCUCCACAUAUUUCAGCAUUGAAUACAACUCGAGAAUAGUCUUUUCCAUCCCUUGCAUGUUGUAAUUCAUCACAAAUACUUUGUAGUUAGGUCGAAGCGACUAGAGGAUUCUGUCAAUGACCGCAUUAUUAGGAAGUUCAACUCUCAGCUGAGUCUAGCGGUUGUACAACCCAGACAUUCUGAGUAUGUGCUCACUGACAGAACUAUUCUCCUCCAUCUUAUAGCUGAAGAACUUGUCGGAGACUUCAUAUCUCUCAACCCGGGCAUGAGCUUGAAAAACAAGUUUCAGCUCCUCGAACAUCUCAUAUGCUCCGUGUUGCUCAAAAGCCGUUUGGAGCCCCGGUUCUAAACUAUAAAGUAUGCCGCACUAAAUGAGAGAGUAGUCAUCACUCCGCGACUGCCAGGCGUUCCUAGCAUCCUGGUCUGCCGCGGGAGCGGGAGGAUCACCAAGUGGUGCAUCAAGGACAUAUGCCUUCUUGGAAGCCAUGAGGAUGAGCUUUAAGUUACGAGCAGAGUCCGCAUAGUUGCUCCCAUCGUGUUUCAGCUUGGUUUUCUCUAGGAACGCGUUGAAGUUGAAUGGGACAUUUGCGUUGGCCAUUGGAUCUACAAUAUUUGUAAAGACACUUUUAGACUAAGUUCAUGAUGAUUAAUCUCAUCUAAUCAAAUUACUAAAGAACUUCCACUUAGAUCGACACCCCUCUAGUCAUCCAAGUGACACAUGAUCCACGUCGACUAGCGUGUGUCCGAUCAUCAUGUGAGAUGGACUAGUCAUCAAUGGUGAGCAUAUCUAUGUUGAUUGUGUCAACCAUACGACUCAUGUUCGACCUUUCGGUCUCCCGUAUUCGAGGCCAUGUCUGUACAUGCUAGGCUCGUCGAGUCAACCUAAGUGUUCUGCAUGUGUAAACUGGCUUACACCUGUUGUAUGCGAACGUUAGAAUCUAUCACACCCAAUCAACACAUGGUGCUUCAAAACAACGAACCUUUGCAACGGUGCACACUUAGGGGAAUACUUAUCUCAAAAUUUUAUGAGGGAUCAUCUUAUCUUUGCUACCGUCAUUCUAAGCAAUAAGAUGUAAAACAUGAGAACGUCACCUGCAAUCAUAUAGUGACAUGAUAUGGCCAAUAUCGUCUUGCGCCUUUGAUCACCAUCUUCGGCGCACAAUGAUCAUCAUCGUCACCGGCAUGACACCAUGAUCUCCAUCAUCACGAUCUCCAUCAUUGUGUCUCCGUAGAGUCGUCACGCAAACUAUUACUUCUAGUACUAUAGCUAACCGUUAGCAAGAAAGUAAAGUAAUCAACAUGGCGUUGCAUCUCAUACAAUAAAUUAAGACAACUCCUAUGGCUCCUUCCGGUUGUCAUACUCAUCGACAUGCAAGUCGCGAAUCCUAUUACAAGAACAUGAUCAAUCUCAUACAUCACAUAUGUAACAUCACAUCCUUUUGGCCAGGCCACAUCACAUAGCAUACCCUGCAAAAACAAGUUAGACAUCCUCUAAUUGUUGUUGCAAGUUUUACAUGGCUGGUUAGGGUUUCUAGCAAGAACAUUUCUCACCUACGUUACAGCCACAACAUUGAUAUGCCAAUGCUAUUUACCCUUCAUAAGGACCCUCUUCAUCGAAUCCGAUCCGACUAAAGUGGGAGAGACAGACACCCACUAGCCACCUUAUGCAACUAGUGCAUGUCGGUUGGUGGAACCAGUCUCACGUAAGAGUACGUGUAAAGUCGGUCCGGACCGCUUCAUCCCACGAUGCCGCCGAAUCAAGAUAAGACUAGUAAUGACAAGCAAAUCGACAAAUCAGGGCCCAUAACUUUUGUGUUCUACUCGUGUAUAGAAUCUACGCAUAGAAUCUUGGCUCGGAUGUCACUGUUGGGGAUCGUAGUAAUUUCAAAAUUUUCCUACGUCAUGCAAGGAUCUAUCUAUGGAGAAACCAGCAAUGAGAAAAGGAGUAGAGCAUCUUCAUACCUUUGAAGAUUGCUAAGCGAAAGCGUUACGAUGAACGCGGUUGAUGGAGUCGUACUCGCAGCGAUUCAGAUCGUAGUGGAUUCCGAUCUAUGUGCCAAAUCACAGCACCUCCGCGUUCAACACACGUGCAGCCCAGUGACGUCUCCAAUACCUUGAACCAGCAAGGAUGAAGGAGAGGUUGAGGGAGGGAGCUCCAGCAGCAUGACAGCGUGGUGGCGGUGGAGCUACGUGGUUCUCCGGCAAGGCUUCGCCAAGCACUGCGGAGGACGAGGAGAGAGAGAGGAAGGGCUGCUACGAGAGAGAGAGAGAGAGAGAGUUUUCCUGUCUCAAAUCAGCCCCAAACCUUGGGUAUUUAUAGGAGGGAGGGAGAGAGGGUGCUCAUGAUGAGAUGAUGUAUAUGUUUCUCGCUCCUCGUUGGUUACCCCAAGUGGAAGGUUGAGAUGUAGUUAGCAGCAAGUUUUCCCUUACACGGAGACCGUAAAGUUAUCAAACCAGGAGGACUCCUAGGAUCAACAAGUAGGUGUCCGCUACUCUAGCGCUAGAAGAAGACGUGGACUUGCACACACACAAAUAACUUUGCUCCAAACGAGUACAAAGAGGUUGUCAAUCUCUCUGGCCUUGUAGUUUGCAAAGGAUCAAAACACAAGCAGGAAUAGUAAUAGUGAUUGCAAUGGAAAAGUAAAUGAAAGCAGUAAAUGAUGGAAGUGUAAGCAAUAGUGGUGAUAUGGACCGGAGGCACAUGAUGUUCACUAGUGAUGGCACUCUCCGAAAAUACGAUAAACAACUAUGCUUGGGUAAACAAAUUACAGUUGGGCAAUUGACAGAAUUAUAAACGCACCGCAAUGCUAAUUAUGCUACUUGAAAGUUAGAGGCUCAAUAGUAAUGGGAAGUACACCAAGACAAGUGAUCAUUUAUUCAUCAGCAUCUACUUACUAAUCAUCCAUCUUGAGAUAUCUAUCCAGAACAUCUCGCCGGUAUUAAGUUGCGAGCCCCAUCCAAAGUGUUAACUCAAAGCAAUGGACAACUGCAUCAACGAACUAUGCAUAAGGUAAACAAUCCUCGCAACCGUGGUCACAAGCACCGUUGUUUUCUCCCUGGUGGCAACAACACAUCCCCUAGUCUCAUGUUUCUAUCAGUCAAGCUAGACAUCAGGGGGCAUGGACCCAAAAUCAUGCAUAACAAUCCCUCUUGGAGUUACAAUCUACUACUCGGCCAAAGCAAUAAAGAGCAACAGAGAACAUGCAUGAAUCACUAAGGGACAUAAUAUAAAAGGAUAAUCAAAUAUAUAACUCAUAACAAUCUGAACGUAAUCUCAUAAUCCAUCGGAUCCCAACAAACCGAGCAUAGCAAUAGAAAGAGAAUUACAUAGAUGCCUUGAUCAUGUAGGGCAGAUCACAAGGGCUAAUCAUGGAAGCACAAGAUUGGAGAGAAGACAUUAGAUAGCUACUGGUCAUGGACUCAUGGUCCAAGGAGGACUACUCACGGCACAUCCGGGAAGCAUCCAUGGCGGUGGAGAAGCUCCCGGAGGUCAAUCCUCCCUCUGGCAGGGUGCCGGGAAGAGGUCUCCUAACGCUCCCAAUCUAUGAAGCGCUACGUCGGCGGAACGAUGGAGAAAUUCACGAUUCUGGAUGAUGUGGAAGGCUUUCCUCUCGCAGGAGUAAAUAUAGGCCAACGAAGGGUGUCAGAAGAGGUGGGACCCACUCAAGCAGCCUGUAGGCGCGGCCAGGGGCCAGGCCGUGCCAGGAGGUCGCGUGGGCAUGCCCUGGCCCCCUGUGGCCCAUGUUCGGUGAUCUGGAAGCUUCCGUGACACUAAUUUAUAUAUAUUUUUCUCGGGAUUUUUGGGGCUCCGAAAAAUUGGGUAAAAGCCCGUGCAAAAAAGACAUCAGCAGAUAGAAACUCGCACUAGGUGCACUGAGUUAGUAGGUUAGUCCAAAUAUGUGUAAAAAGAUAUAAAAGUGUAGCAAAACAUAUAACAAUGUCACCCAAAAGAUCAUGGAACAAACAGAAAUUAUAUAUACGUUUGGGACGUAUCAACAUCCCCAAGCUUAAUUCCCGCUCGUCCUCGAGUAGGUAAAUGAUAUCACAAUAGUUUCUGUUGUGACAUGCUAACACACAUAUAAUAAUUUUAAAGUAAAGUAAGUAAUAUGUGCAAUUCCAGUCAAGACAAUAACAAGAAAGAGUCUAUAUCUAGUAUUGAGUUUAGCAAAGUAAGAACAUAAAGGUGCAAGAGCUCUCGCUGUCCGCAACUCGAAUGUCUCCAAAUAGUGUUUGCGUGCAAGAAGUGGGAGAUGGGUUCAUAGAAUAAAUAUGUUUUUAAUUGAGAACUCAAUCUACUAAACCUCACACUUGGUCUCCUUCGGAAUCUUAUUUUGACUCAUCCCCAAACCACUAGUGAGGCACAAGUCAAAAUGAUCCUCUCCCUUUCGACUUUAAGCACUCAUGCAAUGGAUGAGCGCAAGCAAGAUAUGUUGGCACUUAGGAUGGCAAAUAGAAUAAUGACGGGGAAGGAAGACAACAAGGUGUGAAAGGAUCACAUCAAUUAGGACAACCAUAGGCGAGAGAAAGCCAAAUGAUAGAUAUGAUGUGAGGAGUAGGGAUUGCCAUGUAACGGAUGCACAUAUGAGCUAAGGUAAGCUCUCCAAUGGAACUAGUGGGGGUGCAUCCAACUUGCUUGAUCAUGAAGACCCAGAGCUCAUUUGAGGAGGCUCAUCAUUGGAAUAUACAAGCCAAGUUCUAUAGUGUAAGGGUCCCCACAUAGUUAUGCAUGAAUGAUAAUCUCUAUGUAGUACAAAUAUAACAAUGGUGUACGAGUGUGGAUCUUUCAAAAGGAAUAGUAGUGUUGCCCCAUUCUCUAUUUUUAUUUCUCUUUUUAUUUCUUUUUAUUUUUUGUGGCCUCUUUGGCUCUUUCUAUUUAUCUCUCAUUUGUCCUCUAUGGGAUCUUUUAUUUUGUCCUCUUUGGGAUCUUUUCCUCACUUAAGGGCAACACUCUAUGUUUUAAAAGAAUAAAAAGAAGAUCAUCACACUUUAUAGGAAGUACUCAACAUAAAUACAAAUGAAAACUAUCAUGAUGUAUGCAAAUGUAUGCCUCCGCCAAUGUAGCAUGAUAUGCAAUGAUACUAGCGCGUCAUGUAGCAAUAAUAAGGGCAAGGCCCAACUAUCAUGCGGCUCCUCGAUCAAGCAAAAGCAUGUAUGACAUGAAGACCAAGUCAUGAGAUGGUGGAUGUUGCAUGGCAAUGUAUCGCGGAAAGGCUAUGGAAAUGCCUUAAUAGGUAGGUAUGGUGGCUGUUUUGAGGAAAGAUAUAAUGAGGCUUAUGUAUGACAGAGCGUAUCAUGUCAUGGGUUUGGAUGCACCGGCGAAGUUUGCACCAACUCUCAAGAUGAGAAAGGGCAAUGCACGAUACCGAAGAGGCUAGCCAAAUAUGGAUGGUGGAAGUGCCAACAAUCAAAUACUCACAUUAGUCCAAAGAACUCAUAGACUUAUUAUCGGUAACUCUCUAUCUAGUUAGGAGAUUCACAAAGAGACAAGUACCCCGAGGAGGAGUGUUUGGGGGUUUGGUUAUCCUUGCUCAUCCUCGACCCAUGGUAAUGUGAGAGUACUCUAUAUAUUCCAACCCCUCCAAAGGUUAGCGAUCAAUUUAGUAGCCAGAGUUCUCAACUAAUUUUUAGUUUUUGAAAAACACACGGAUUUCCCAAAAUACGACACCUAUCACUAAUAGGCUUAAGCUCUUUGCACCAAUAGUCCAAACAUUACUCAAAUCAAUACCUCAAAACUAUUGCAAGUUACUACUAUACUUAUAUACUAACCUCAAUUACCUACUCAUGCAAGACACACAACUCACUGCAACGAGCCAACUCUCUAAACAAGAUAAGCAUGAGAAAUCAAGAGAGUUCCAAAAGCAACCUAAAUAAUAGCUCUUAAAAAGAUAUAACCUGAAAACUAAUAGCUAAGCAUGACAGUAGCUAUGUAAAGAUAGAGAACACAGAAAAAAGGAUAAGCAUGAAAACCUAUGUUGUGUUCUAGAGUGGAAUGGAGCGUGUUUCUCUCCCAGCCAAGGUAGGCUAGGUUCCGACUUGUUAUGAACAACAAGAAAAACUAAAAAAACUAAAAAGUAAAGAGCGGGACGCUCCAAGCAUAACACAUAACAUAUGCAGUGAUAAAAAUAUAGCAUGUAGAUGGACGAACUCAUGAUUGUUGAUAGAGAAGGGGAUGCACGGGGGCAUCCCCAAGCUUAGACGCUUGAGUAUCCUUGAAUAUUUUUUGGGGUGCAUGGGGGCAUCCCCAAGCUUGAGCACUUGACACUCCUGGAUCUUCUUUCAUCAUCUCCCGUCGCAUACUUGACAACUCCCUUCUUACGAAACUCAUCAUAAGCUGAUUAGAGUGGUUAGUACCCAAGAAAAAAUAAUUCACAUGGCUAACUCCUUAGUCACAUUGAGCUCAUUAUGAUGAUGUUCUACCGAGUGGGCCGAGAGAUACCUCUCCGUCACACAGAGUGAAAAAUCCCGGUCUCGAUUCGUACCAACCCAACUGACACUUUUGGAGAUACCCGUAAUGCACCUUUAUAGUCACCGAGUUACGUUGUAACGUUUGAUACACCGAAAGCACUCCUACAGUAUCCGGGAGUUGCACAAUCUUAUGGUCUAAGGAAAAGAUACUUGACAUUAUAAAAGCUUUAGCAUACGAACAACAUGAUCUAGUGCCAUGCUUAGGAUUGGGUCUUGUCUGUCACAUCAUUCCCCAAUGAUGUGAUCCCAUUAUCAAUGACAUCCAAUGUCCAUGAUCACGAAACCAUGAUCAUCUAUUGAUCAACGAGCUAGCCAACUAGAGGCUCACUAGGGUCACAUUGUGAUCUAUAGAUUCACCCAUGUAUUACGGUUUCCGGUUAAUACAAUUAUAGCAUGAAUAAUAGACAAUUAUCAUGAACUAGGAUAUAUAAUAAUAACCACUUUAUUGUUGCCUCUAGGGCAUAUUACCAACAAAUGGGUGAUGUGCCCAUGAACCCUGCGCGUUUAGGAUUUAGACCGGUGGGCUAACCUCUCUAUUGAAUCUAGGUGGGGCUACGACUUGUCGAUGUUCCGAGGCCGGGCAUGACACAGGAAAGUAUGUUAGGCCAGCGUUUAUCGAGCAUGACGGGAAACUUGGUGCACCCGUGCAGGGAUGAAAAUUAACUAUUUGAAUAGUUGUGUCCACGAUUACAUGACGACUUGGAGUUUUGCCCCAAUCUUAUACAACUACAACUGUUACUUAACUGGAAUGUUGGUUUGGGAGUGCUUCCUCGCAGGGAGUCGACGAAGAAUCUCUAGGCGUGACCUUAAUUUAAUAUUGCUGCAACAAUAUGACUAUUAAUUGUGUUACUUGCUCUACUCUCGUCUAUUGCAGCAAGAUCCCUGAAGAUGCUAGUCUUUGAUAGGACUAGGCUUUCUCUCUCUAUUCUCGCAUUGCUGCAGUUAGUCCACAUAUAACCCCUUCCUUUGAUACUGAUGCAUACUUAGCAUAGUUCUGAUGUCAGGCUUGCGAUUACUUUGCAUGAGUACUCACUGUUGCUUUGCUCCCCCUUUUCCUCUCGACCCGUUGCUGCGACCAGAUGUUGGAGCCGAGGAGGUGUCGUUUCUCGCCGAUGACGAGUGCUCCCCCGACUGUGUCGACCGCUAGUGGAGGCCGUUGACGACCAGGAGUAGUUAGGAGGUUCCCAGUCAGGAGGCCUCACUUUGUUCGAUCGUUGUAUCUUUUGUGCUAGCCUUCUCUAAGGCAUUAGCUUGUUUCAUGUCUGUACUCAGAUAUUUGUUGCUUCCGCUAACUCGUGUGCUUUUCGAGCUUCUGUUUUUCUAGCCCUAGAGGCCCUUGGCUUGUAAUAUGAAGCUUGUAUGUUUUUCUUUGUUUCUAGAAUUGUGUCGUGAUAUGUUUGGUACGUCUCCAUCGUAUCUACUUUUACGAACUAUUUUGCCCUUGUUUUGGACUUUAA